Molecule: long non-coding RNA, 520 nt
Filed under: Vigna radiata
Lineage: Eukaryota; Viridiplantae; Streptophyta; Magnoliopsida; Fabales; Fabaceae
Description: long non-coding RNA (VRAD_LNC012385)
Source: RNAcentral
GGUAGAGGUGGAUUUGGUCGGGGCGGUAGAGGAGGAUGACGUGGUGAUCGUCAACGGCAUUGGCCGUGACUGGUGGCGCCCUGGUUCGAGACGGCUGUGCUCGUGAAGGCGAUGAUUGACGGAGGAGCGAGAGAGCUUCUCGCGCGCGAGAGGAAAAGGGGGCGUUGUCGCCGUUGGUGGCUUCUGGCGGGGAACUUCCGACGAUUUGUGAGUGGCGAUGGCUUCAGGGGAAGACGUCCGGCGGUUUGUCGGUGGCAAUGGCUGUCAGAGUGGACGUGCAGUGGCGAAAAACCCAUCCCUGGGAUUGCCUUUCGCGAGAGAGACCCUAAGUCUCUGAUGAAAGGAAGUGUGAGGAAAGAAAGGGGAUCUGAGAGAACCCCUAAGGGGUUUCUGAAACUUGAGUUGGGUUGAGGGCGUGUUGGGCCUGUUUGUUUUUUAUUUUAUUUUCUUUUAAAUUAUUAUUAUUAUUAUUUUUAUGUUAAUUUUGGUUUUGCAUCCCUUAUUUUCCCUUUCACCACCC